UGACUGCUAUCGGAUUGAUACUAAGCCAUGCGAGUCAUUGUAGUAAUACAAGGCAGACGGCUCAGUAACGCGUAGUCACCUAACCUAUGGACGGGAAUAACCUCGGGAAACUGAGUAUAAUGCCCGAUAGAACAUUAUGCCUGGAAUGGUUUAUGUUCCAAAUGAUUUAUCGCCGUAGGAUGGGACUGCGGCCUAUCAGUUUGUUGGUGAGGUAAUGGCCCACCAAGACUAUUACAGGUACGGGCUCUGAGAGGAGUGGCCCGGAGAUGGGUACUGAGACACGGACCCAGGCCCUAUGGGGCGCAGCAGGCGAGAAAACUUUGCAAUGUGCGAAAGCACGACAAGGUUAAUCCGAGUGGUUUCUGCUAAAGGAACCUUUUGCCAGUCCUAGAAACACUGGUGAAUAAGGGGUGGGCAAGUUCUGGUGUCAGCCGCCGCGGUAAAACCAGCACCUCAAGUGGUCAGGAUGAUUAUUGGGCCUAAAGCAUCCGUAGCCGGCUCUGUAAGUUUUCGGUUAAAUCUGUACGCUUAACGUACAGGCUGCCGGGAAUACUGCAGAGCUAGGGAGUGGGAGAGGUAGACGGUACUCGGUAGGAAGGGGUAAAAUCCUUUGAAUCUAUUGAAUGACCACCUGUGCGCGGAAGGCCGGUCUACCAGAACACCGUCCGGACAGGCCAAGGGUAUGGAAAGGCUGGGGGGAGCAAAACCGGGAUUA
Molecule: ribosomal RNA, 715 nt
Filed under: uncultured marine archaeon
Lineage: Archaea
Description: bacterial SSU rRNA
Rfam family: Archaeal small subunit ribosomal RNA
Source: RNAcentral